RNAcentral lists this ribosomal RNA (463 nucleotides) under uncultured bacterium. Its description in RNAcentral is "partial 16S ribosomal RNA". It matches the Rfam family "Bacterial small subunit ribosomal RNA", at positions 28 to 507 of the family's 1533-position model. The record is from RNAcentral.
GAUGAACGCUGACAGAAUGCUUAACACAUGCAAGUCGAUGGGGAAGUGGUGCUUGCACCAUGGCAACCAUGGCGGACGGGUGAGUAACGCGUAAGGGACUUACCUGCAGGACUGGGAUAACAGGGGGAAACUCCUGACAAGACCGGAUAAUGUCAUGGAGCUGCAUGGCUUUAUGAUGAAAGGAGACGCCUGCGGAGAGCCUUGCGUCCUAUUAGCUAGUUGGUGAGGUAAUGGCUCACCAAGGCGAAGAUAGGUAGCCGGCCUGAGAGGGUGGACGGCCACAAGGGGACUGAGAUACGUCCCUUACUCCUACGGGAGGCAGCAGUGGGGAAUAUUGGACAAUGGGGGCAACCCUGAUCCAGCAAUUCUGUGUGCACGAAGAAGGUUUUCGGAUUGUAAAGUGCUUUCAGCAGGGAAGAAGUAAGUGACGGUACCUGCAGAAGAAGCGACGGCUAAAUACGUG